This 468-nucleotide ribosomal RNA is filed under the name uncultured bacterium. RNAcentral's name for it is "partial 16S ribosomal RNA". It matches the Rfam family "Bacterial small subunit ribosomal RNA", at positions 28 to 507 of the family's 1533-position model. The record is from RNAcentral.
GACGAACGCUGGCGGCGUGCUUAACACAUGCAAGUCGAACGGAAAGGCCCUGCUUUUGUGGGGUGCUCGAGUGGCGAACGGGUGAGUAACACGUGAGUAACCUGCCCUUGACUUUGGGAUAACUUCAGGAAACUGGGGCUAAUACCGGAUAGGAGCUCCUGCUGCAUGGUGGGGGUUGGAAAGUUUCGGCGGUUGGGGAUGGACUCGCGGCUUAUCAGCUUGUUGGUGGGGUAGUGGCUUACCAAGGCUUUGACGGGUAGCCGGCCUGAGAGGGUGACCGGCCACAUUGGGACUGAGAUACGGCCCAGACUCCUACGGGAGGCAGCAGUGGGGAAUAUUGCACAAUGGGCGCAAGCCUGAUGCAGCAACGCCGCGUGCGGGAUGACGGCCUUCGUGUUGUAAACCGCUUUCGCCUGUGACGAAGCGUGAGUGACGGUAAUGGGUAAAGAAGCACCGGCUAACUACGUG